GUCGAGGGGCAGCGGAGGCGAGUGCUUGCACUUGCCAGACGGCGACCGGCGCACGGGUGAGUAACACGUAUGCGACCUGCCCGUAGCAGGGGGAUAAGCGGAAGAAAUUCCGUCUAAUACCGCGUAAUAUCUUUCGGGGGCAUCCCUGAGGGAUUAAAGGAAGCGAUUCCGGCUACGGAUGGGCAUGCGGCGCAUUAGCUAGUCGGCGGGGUAACGGCCCACCGAGGCGACGAUGCGUAGGGGUUCUGAGAGGAAGGUCCCCCACACUGGUACUGAGACACGAACCACAUUUAAACGGGAGGCAGCAGUGAGGAAUAUUGGUCACUGGGCGAGAGCCUGAACCAGCCAAGUCGCGUGAGGGAUGACGGCCCUAUGGGUUGUAAACCUCUUUUGCCGGGGAGCAAAGUGCCGCACGUGUGCGGUUUGGAGAGUACCCGGAGAAAAAGCAUCGGCUAACUCCGUGCCAGCAGCCGCGGUAAUACGGAGGAUGCGAGCGUUAUCCGGAUUUAUUGGGUUUAAAGGGUGCGUACGCGGACGCUUAAGUCAGCGGUAAAAUUGCGGGG
This 563-nucleotide ribosomal RNA is filed under the name uncultured bacterium. RNAcentral's name for it is "bacterial SSU rRNA". It matches the Rfam family "Bacterial small subunit ribosomal RNA", at positions 61 to 607 of the family's 1533-position model. The record is from RNAcentral.